CGUCCCAUCCUAGGAUGACCAUCCCAGGGCUCACAGCCCUUCAACCUGGCUGAUCAGGACCAAGUGAAAAGUGGAGGAAUCUUACCUGCUUAAUUAGCUUGGCCCAGAAGUGUCACCGAGUCAGAUGCCAGGGUUCAGAUAUGCAGAAGACCUCAGUGAAUGCUGCUGAAAGCUCUUGCCCUACUUUGAUCUAGUGUUGUCCCUGCGUUUGGACCUGGAAGAGAUAUCUGGCAGACUGUUGAGUACAGAAAAAGAAGAAAAUCAGUAGCCUCCCCUUAUCCAGGGUUACUGUGAUGUGCUGGGUAACCUCGUUCCUGAAGCAGAGGCUCCUUCUCACGCGGCAGCAUCAGAUUGUCAGCAGCCGGCGGGUGCUAUGUCACAGUGCUGAUGUCAUAAUGCUGACGUCAUAACGCUAAGGUCACAACGCUGACAUCACUCCCCCUCAUCACCUCAGGUGUGUGCAUCGUGCCAACAAAUCCCCUCUCACUGAAACAAGGCAAGUAAAUUUUAAAACGUCACGAAGGGGCGCCGUGUGACACAGUCGGUGAAGCCUCUGCCUGUAGGUUUCUGCUCAGGUCAUGAUCUCAGGGUGGUGAGAUCAAGUCCCGCAGCAGGGUCUGCGCUGAGUGCUUCG
This is a long non-coding RNA of Neogale vison (American mink), 634 nucleotides long. RefSeq lists it as uncharacterized. Lineage: Eukaryota; Metazoa; Chordata; Mammalia; Carnivora; Mustelidae. The transcript has 4 exons. The record is from RefSeq and is a predicted model, not a curated record.